Molecule: ribosomal RNA, 273 nt
Filed under: uncultured Eubacteriales bacterium
Lineage: Bacteria; Bacillati; Bacillota; Clostridia; Eubacteriales
Description: uncultured Clostridiales bacterium partial 16S ribosomal RNA
Rfam family: Bacterial small subunit ribosomal RNA
Source: RNAcentral
CUGUAGAUUGAUUCAUUUGAGGUGACUGAGUGGCGGACGGGUGAGUAACGCGUGGGUAACCUACCUCAUAGAGGGGGACAACAGUUGGAAACGACUGCUAAUACCGCAUAGUAAGAAAGAUUCGCAUGUUUCUUUCUUGAAAGAUUUAUCGCUAUGAGAUGGACCCGCGUCUGAUUAGCUAGUUGGUAAGGUAACGGCUUACCAAGGCGACGAUCAGUAGCCGGCUUGAGAGAGUGAACGGCCACAUUGGGACUGAGACACGGCCCAAACUCC